GAAGACGUCGAUUGCGUAGGCGCGUGCGCAGCUCUAGACGCCGCUACACCAGGUGGAUGACUCUCUGAAGAGGUAGUUCCUGUCUACAGCGAACAUGGCCAGACGUGUACAGCGUGGAAUGCGUCAGGUUCCUCCCGGACUACAUCUACCUGCAGUAAGAAGAAGCGACCACGUGACAACACCUGGGUUUUAAAAGAAGCGACCACGUGACAACACCUGGGUUUAAAAAGAGGUAUUGUUCUGUCUCUGUUGUGGCUAUGUAAUAAAUUAUUAUUCACAGCUUUUGGUUUUCUU
Long non-coding RNA from Anoplophora glabripennis (Asian longhorned beetle), 294 nucleotides. RefSeq lists it as uncharacterized. NCBI's taxonomy places the organism in Eukaryota, Metazoa, Arthropoda, Insecta, Coleoptera, Cerambycidae. The transcript is spliced from 3 exons. The record is from RefSeq and is a predicted model, not a curated record.